This 207-nucleotide ribosomal RNA is filed under the name uncultured bacterium. RNAcentral describes it as "partial 16S ribosomal RNA". It matches the Rfam family "Bacterial small subunit ribosomal RNA", at positions 568 to 774 of the family's 1533-position model. The record is from RNAcentral.
CGUGCAGGCGGUUUGGUAAGUUGGAUGUGAAAGCUCCCGGCUCAACUGGGAGAGGACGUUCAAUACUGCCAGGCUAGAGGGCGACAGAGGGAGGUGGAAUUCCCGGUGUAGUGGUGAAAUGCGUAGAUAUCGGGAGGAACACCAGUGGCGAAGGCGGCCUCCUGGGUCGCACCUGACGCUAAGACGCGAAAGCUAGGGGAGCGAACG